CGUAUACGUGCGCGGCCGCGGGCCGUGCCGCUUGUAAAGGAGCGCGUCUCUGAAUCAUGGCGUGGAUGGCGGCCGGGGCGGACAUGCAUGAUGAGCGCCCCGGAGCGUGAUGCGCUUUUCUGCCUCGCUCGUUGUCCGGCGCGAUCGUGCAGGGUGUAGAACCGGGGGGAAAGUCGACGUUGACGCCAAGGGUUCCACGUUUGUAGGCGAGGAACGCUACACGU
Molecule: long non-coding RNA, 224 nt
Filed under: Setaria viridis
Lineage: Eukaryota; Viridiplantae; Streptophyta; Magnoliopsida; Poales; Poaceae
Description: long non-coding RNA (SVIR_LNC002182)
Source: RNAcentral